CUAUACUAUACUAUCUAUAGUAAUAGGACUCUGGUAUUAUAAUCUUAUUUUUAAUUUUAAAACAUUAAAAUCAACGAUGCAUACUGUUAAAACUAAUUUAGGAUAUAUGAAGUUUUUAAAAAUAAAAUUUUAUAUUUUUUUCGAUAUAGUUUACUUUAUGAUCAAUUCAUUUUAAAAAUGUCAAUUUUCAAUGGCUAGUAUUGCAAGUUUGCAGCUUAAUGAUGUAAAAGAAUCUAAAUUUAUUUAAAUUUGGAUAAAAAAAAUAUUUUAAAUUAUCUAGAUCAAUAUCAACAUCUUUCAUCUUGAAUUUAAAAGUUAUAUUCUCAAAUUUAAAAGACCGUUCAAUUUCAACUGUUCAUUUUGAUAUGAUUUACUUACUAAGUAAAUGAUGUCGAAAAAAAUCAAAAUUUUAUUUCUAAAAACUUUAUAUAUUCUAAAUCAUAUUUAACGAUGUGGAUCAUUGAUUUGAAUAUUCUAAGAGUGAAUACAAAACUAUAGUAUCUUAAAAUAUUUGGUAUUAGGAAAUGUUUCUCCAAUUU
This 539-nucleotide long non-coding RNA is filed under the name Ananas comosus (pineapple). Its description in RNAcentral is "long non-coding RNA (ACOM_LNC035897)". Lineage: Eukaryota; Viridiplantae; Streptophyta; Magnoliopsida; Poales; Bromeliaceae. The record is from RNAcentral.